UGUUUCAAUGCACAUAUGGGUGUUUGAGUUUUGUAUUUGUUUUAAUUAUUUUGUAUUUCAUUUAUUUGUAUUUAUCUCUUAACAGGUAAUAGAGAAGAGAUAUUUCACAAGGGAUCCAAGUCAGAUGGCGGGUUUCACAGACAGAAAACGGUUCAACUUCAAAAGUUUGCACUACGACUGACGAGCCGUGAACGCAAGAGAAGCGGUCUGUGGUUUGGCCCUGAUGCCUACGGGCUUUUACACCACAAUGAAACCAUCACACACACCCCGC
Long non-coding RNA from Sebastes umbrosus (honeycomb rockfish), 271 nucleotides. RefSeq lists it as uncharacterized. The transcript is spliced from 2 exons. The record is from RefSeq and is a predicted model, not a curated record. NCBI's taxonomy places the organism in Eukaryota, Metazoa, Chordata, Actinopteri, Perciformes, Sebastidae.